Molecule: long non-coding RNA, 798 nt
Organism: Aegilops tauschii subsp. strangulata
Lineage: Eukaryota; Viridiplantae; Streptophyta; Magnoliopsida; Poales; Poaceae
Source: RefSeq, a predicted model, not a curated record
CGUAGAGGUCGAGCAGGGCGCGGCUGGACCGCUGGCGCCCGUGAAGAAUCCGUCGCGGGCCUGCCUCGGCUAGGUGGGCGAGGAGCAUUCGACCCGAGCCGCGGAUCGCUCCCGUCGAUCUUGAGCGGAGGAGGCAACCACGGCUGCUUCGGUCGUGCUCGUGCACUGGCUGCCGUGCGCGACGCAGCCGGUUCUUUAGGCGCUGGUCGCGUGACAUCCGUGGCGAGAUCCGAGUGUAGCGGAUGGCCUGGCUGCGACCGCCAUGACGAUGAUGCUGCAGCUGGUGGUGAUGAAAGGUGCGGCGCAGGAGGCACGGACAAGAACGACCACGGCCAUGACACCGGCACCGAACUAAUUGAGAUGGCGGUGUGAAUGCGGUCAUCAACAAGAAGGCCGGUAGAGUUGGAAGAAAGCGUGCUGCGUUGGACUUGGAUGCUCUAAUGGCUGUACCUCCGAAGGAUCGAAAAACGAUCCGAGAUGUCGCUAGUGCAUUGAAUAUGAAGAAGACCACCGUUCACAAGUUGUUGAAGGAGCACAACUUUCGCAAACACACGAACGGCCUCGGACCUUCGGUAACCGGAAGGCAACAGGAAAGCUUCUGGCUUGCAUGCGGGAAAUAAUAAGACACAAGGGGUCCAUAGACUAUGAGCUUCUUCACAUUUUGGAUAGGUCAUUAGAGAGAAGGGGCAUCCAGCUGCCUAGGCUAGCUUGUGUGCCUGAAUUCGCAGCAGCGAUACUUGAGUAUCCCAGUACGAACUAGAUUGAUUUGAAUGAAAUUCCUUAUCUUCUAUUGUCUAA